GAGGGGAGGUCCAACCAACAAGAACUGCUAACUCUUCUAUCUGAGCUUAAAACCUCAGUCCCCUUG
This 66-nucleotide transfer RNA is filed under the name Nestor notabilis (Kea). RNAcentral's name for it is "tRNA-Ser". The record is from RNAcentral. Lineage: Eukaryota; Metazoa; Chordata; Aves; Psittaciformes; Psittacidae.